RNAcentral lists this transfer RNA (86 nucleotides) under bovine gut metagenome. It matches the Rfam family "tRNA". Rfam says of the family: Transfer RNA (tRNA) molecules are approximately 80 nucleotides in length. Their secondary structure includes four short double-helical elements and three loops (D, anti-codon, and T loops). Further hydrogen bonds mediate the characteristic L-shaped molecular structure. tRNAs have two regions of fundamental functional importance: the anti-codon, which is responsible for specific mRNA codon recognition, and the 3' end, to which the tRNAs corresponding amino acid is attached (by aminoacyl-tRNA synthetases). tRNAs cope with the degeneracy of the genetic code in two manners: having more than one tRNA (with a specific anti-codon) for a particular amino acid; and 'wobble' base-pairing, i.e. permitting non-standard base-pairing at the 3rd anti-codon position. The record is from RNAcentral.
GAAGGAUGGCCGAGUGGUUGAAGGCGCCGGUCUCGAAAACCGGUAUACUCCUAAAGAGUAUCGGGGGUUCGAAUCCCCCUUCUUCC